Molecule: unclassified non-coding RNA, 205 nt
Filed under: uncultured fungus
Lineage: Eukaryota; Fungi
Description: sequence contains ITS1
Source: RNAcentral
AUAUGAUAAUAAUUCAAUCCAUUGAAGGAAAGAAAUUUACAUUCUAUAGACACGAGUAAAAAGGUAUUUUCGCAGACCGAAGUCCACUCGAGCCUCACGGCUCUAAAUAGUUCACAGGUGAGUGAGAGAGAAUGAGAGUGCACCUGCAUGCCAGCACAUCUCAAAGCAAUCGUUAAUGAUCCUUCCGCAGGUUCACCUACGGAAA